GCAAUCGGGGACAAAGCAGACAUCGUAGUGACAUUGUGAUAGCGACUGUUAUUGCACCCGAUGCGCCGACGCUGCAAUGGCGAUAUCGCGUGCUCUACGUCAACAAUGCGUCGCGAGCUUCAACACUGAAGUAAACAUCCCAAGCUGCCAUUAACCAUCAUGGCUACGAUUCACUAGUAAGCAAAAACAACUAUAAAUUCAACAUAACGGGUAUCCAAACUCAACCCAGGUCAAACAGUGAGGAACGUUUAGUUCGUAUAUGUUCGUAUAUGUACACGUGUUAGUCACGAUCUUAGUUUAUACGACGCCGAUGUUCAAAAGGCUCAUUAAGCAAUAGCCCUUACAGCUACGUUAAAUUUCAUGGAUAAAUAUGAUCUAAAAGAGAUGGACCAAAAUAGCUCUCCCUAAGAUACUGUCAAUCGAGCGUAUUUACUGGUAAGUAUCUUUGACGUACUUCAUUUAUGAAAGCGAUAGCUUCGUGAGAAGAUUUUUUUUUCUAUAUGAAAUUACGCAGGCGAGAAAAAUGGUGUAGGUGUUAAGGUAUACAGACCGGAGCGAGUAAUCAAUGUAUGAUCUUCAAAAAUAAAUUAUUAUUAGUA
Molecule: long non-coding RNA, 599 nt
Organism: Melitaea cinxia (Glanville fritillary)
Lineage: Eukaryota; Metazoa; Arthropoda; Insecta; Lepidoptera; Nymphalidae
Exons: 2
Source: RefSeq, a predicted model, not a curated record